UUUCUACAGUAGCGCAGAACGGACAAACGAAACACUGGCUCUUUCACGAUUAUGUUACCUGAAAGCCACCGUAGUUUUCUGACUUGCUUUUAAAGGGAGGGAUGAG
Sebastes umbrosus (honeycomb rockfish) is the source of this 106-nucleotide long non-coding RNA. RefSeq lists it as uncharacterized. The transcript is spliced from 3 exons. The record is from RefSeq and is a predicted model, not a curated record. NCBI's taxonomy places the organism in Eukaryota, Metazoa, Chordata, Actinopteri, Perciformes, Sebastidae.